This 1475-nucleotide ribosomal RNA is filed under the name bacterium. Its description in RNAcentral is "bacterial SSU rRNA". It matches the Rfam family "Bacterial small subunit ribosomal RNA". RNAcentral also lists the same sequence under 6 other names. The record is from RNAcentral.
AAACUUGAGAGUUUGAUCAUGGCUCAGAACGUACGCUGGCGGCACGCCUAACACAUGCAAGUCGAACGAAGUAGCAAUACUUAGUGGCAGACGGGUGAGUAACAUGUAGGUAUCUGCCCUUUGGCCUGGAAUAACACGAGGAAACUUGUGCUAAUACCGGAUAAGUCUUUACGGAGAAAGCUUUAUGCACCAUUGGAUGAGCCUGCACUUGAUUAGUUUGUUGGUGGGGUAAUGGCCUACCAAGACUGUGAUCAAUAGCUGAUUUGAGAGGAUGAUCAGCCACAUUGGGACUGAGACACGGCCCAAACUCCUACGGGAGGCAGCAGUGGGGAAUCUUGCACAAUGGAGGAAACUCUGAUGCAGCGAUGCCGCGUGAGUGAAGAAGGCCCUUGGGUUGUAAAGCUCUUUCGUCGGGGAAGAAAAUGACUGUACCCGAAUAAGAAGGUCCGGCUAACUUCGUGCCAGCAGCCGCGGUAAUACGAAGGGACCUAGCGUAGUUCGGAAUUACUGGGCUUAAAGAGUUCGUAGGUGGUUGAAAAAGUUAGUGGUGAAAUCCCAGAGCUUAACUCUGGAACUGCCAUUAAAACUUUUCAGCUAGAGUAUGAUAGAGGAAAGCAGAAUUUCUAGUGUAGAGGUGAAAUUCGUAGAUAUUAGAAAGAAUACCAAUUGCGAAGGCAGCUUUCUGGAUCAUUACUGACACUGAGGAACGAAAGCAUGGGUAGCGAAGAGGAUUAGAUACCCUCGUAGUCCAUGCCGUAAACGAUGUGUGUUAGACGUUGGAAAUUUAUUUUCAGUGUCGCAGGGAAACCGAUAAACACACCGCCUGGGGAGUACGACCGCAAGGUUAAAACUCAAAUGAAUUGACGGGGACCCGCACAAGUAGUGGAGCAUGUGGUUUAAUUCGAAGAUACGCGCAGAACCUUACCAACACUUGACAUGUUCGUCGCGACUCUAAGAGAUUAGAGUUUUCGGUUCGGCCGGACGAAACACAGGUGCUGCAUGGCUGUCGUCAGCUCGUGUCGUGAGAUGUUGGGUUAAGUCCCGCAACGAGCGCAACCCUCACUUUUAGUUGCCAUCAUUAAGUUGGGCACUCUGAAAGAACUGCCAGUGAUAAGCUGGAGGAAGGUGGGGAUGACGUCAAGUCCUCAUGGCCCUUACGUGUUGGGCUACACACGUGCUACAAUGGUAUCUACAACAGGAAGCAAGACUGCGAAGUUAAGCAAAUCCCUAAAAGAUACCUCAGUUCGGAUUGCACUCUGCAACUCGAGUGCAUGAAGCUGGAAUUACUAGUAAUCGUGGAUCAGCGUGCCACGGUGAAUGCGUUCCCGGGUCUUGUACACACCGCCCGUCACACCAUGGGAGUUGGUUCUACCUUAAGGCAAGGUUUCAAACCCUUGACCACGGUAUAGUCAGCGACUGGGGUGAAGUCGUAACAAGGUAGCCGUAGGGGAACCUGCGGCUGGAUUACCUCCUUU